RNAcentral lists this transfer RNA (72 nucleotides) under Daldinia loculata. RNAcentral's name for it is "tRNA-Ala". It matches the Rfam family "tRNA". From Rfam's summary of the family: Transfer RNA (tRNA) molecules are approximately 80 nucleotides in length. Their secondary structure includes four short double-helical elements and three loops (D, anti-codon, and T loops). The record is from RNAcentral. Lineage: Eukaryota; Fungi; Ascomycota; Sordariomycetes; Xylariales; Hypoxylaceae.
GGGCGUGUAACUCAGUGGUAGAGUGCUCGCUUCGCAUGCGAGAAGUCCAGGGUUCAACUCCCUGCUCGUCCA